UGUUAAAUAAUAUUAAUAUUUGAGGCUAGAUUACACCUCUAAUGCGAAGGAUCUUGCGAGUCUGUUCAGAGGCGGACAUGAGUGUGACACCGGACCGAGAUCGCGAACGGACCGGAACUGACGUGUGGCUGGCGUAAAAAAAGGUUUUGUAAACAUUCUGUCCAUUUAACUUAGCGCUGUCAUAAACACGGACCAUUUGGAAGACAUCGAUGUCAUCUUCCUUCUGUCAGGAGGAUCCAAGUGAAGCUACAGGAGUUUCAUUAACGUCAAUAACUUGGACCGAACAGUUUGUUUUGCUUGAUGAAGAGGAGGAAGGGCAGCCUGGAGAGAAAGAGAAGCCGGGUUGAGCCCACUUCCAUCAUCCACGUACCACAAGGAAGAUGAGGGGGAGAAAUUAUCCUACCAUUAAAGAGGUAGUACUGACGCAUUUAUGGAGAUGGGACAUGAGGGCCUUGUCUGCGUGCUCAAGAGAAGAUUCC
Molecule: long non-coding RNA, 479 nt
Organism: Limanda limanda (common dab)
Lineage: Eukaryota; Metazoa; Chordata; Actinopteri; Pleuronectiformes; Pleuronectidae
Exons: 3
Source: RefSeq, a predicted model, not a curated record